Molecule: ribosomal RNA, 253 nt
Filed under: uncultured bacterium
Lineage: Bacteria
Description: partial 16S ribosomal RNA
Rfam family: Bacterial small subunit ribosomal RNA
Source: RNAcentral
UACGUAGGGUGCAAGCGUUAAUCGGAAUUACUGGGCGUAAAGCGUGCGCAGGCGGUUAUGUAAGACAGUUGUGAAAUCCCCGGGCUCAACCUGGGAAUUGCAUCUGUGACUGCAUAGCUAGAGUACGGCAGAGGGGGAUGGAAUUCCGCGUGUAGCAGUGAAAUGCGUAGAUAUGCGGAGGAACACCAAUGGCGAAGGCAAUCCCCUGGGCCUGUACUGACGCUCAUGCACGAAAGCGUGGGGAGCAAACAGG